Molecule: unclassified non-coding RNA, 639 nt
Filed under: Hevea brasiliensis (rubber tree)
Lineage: Eukaryota; Viridiplantae; Streptophyta; Magnoliopsida; Malpighiales; Euphorbiaceae
Source: RNAcentral
AUGUUGGGCAAGUUUAUGCAGAUGUAUGAUUAUGGUUUGAUGUGUUUAUUGCGUGAAGCUUGCUAUGGGUUCUCAUAGCCUUAUACAGGCCAAGUUUUAGUACUAGUCACAACUCCAAGCCAAGUGCUUACAUCAGUGAAUUAAUGAAGAGAAUUUCCAAAAAUCAUGCUUCUUUCAGUUGUCUUAUGCAAUUCACCUUACACGUAAAUUUCAAUACAAUUUGGGUUGAAGUUCUCUUCCACCAAACCCUAAUCAAAUAAUAUCAAUUUCUUGAACUUUCCAAAAAACAAAAUUGAUGCGUACGACUUACAAGUUUGCCUAGUGCUAUUUUUCUUCCCAUCAUACUUGUUUACAAACUCUAAUUCUCAUCAUGAAUCUCUAUUCUCUUUAUCUUUUCAAAUCAACCCAAGCCCUACAUCAAUAGCAAUUAAGUGAAAGCUAAGCAUGAUAAUUAAGCACAACCAAUGGUCAUAAUAACAAUAUUCGCAUUCUCAAACUAAAGGCCCAUUUUGAUUCAAACUUCAAUAUUGGAAUUAAAAAUAGAAUGGCGUGUAAUCAGGAAAAGAAUGGGUUUUUUCCUCAAGUGUUUGGUUCAACAAGGAACCAAAAUUCAAUUUCUUAAAGGUUAUUUGGUUGCUA